Long non-coding RNA from Lolium rigidum, 770 nucleotides. RefSeq lists it as uncharacterized. The record is from RefSeq and is a predicted model, not a curated record. The transcript has 4 exons. NCBI's taxonomy places the organism in Eukaryota, Viridiplantae, Streptophyta, Magnoliopsida, Poales, Poaceae.
UCGGCCGCAAUGGCGAGCUUCCAGCGAAGGCCGUGGGGCAGAUGAGUUCCUGAUGAUGAGGUGUGGAGACUGAUUUCGAGAUGCGGCGGCCAGAUACGGCCAUGAGGAGCCCUUUCCUGAACGCGUGGAGCGGCCGCUUCCGAGUUCGUCGGUCGGCAGUGGCUGAACAACCGCCCUACACCCUCUACUUCCAUAUGCUCUCUGCUCUCCUGUACGCAUCUAUCUGAUUGUAUGCAGUGUUUGAGGAACAGGAACGGCAGCCUGAUCAUGAGCAGAAUAACAAGGUGGUUGCUUCAUGCCCGUGGAUGAUAGCUUGCACCUUUUUUGUGACAGUGUUGUCAGGACACUGAAUUUUGCAAAUAAGGAUGGGAUUUAUCGUAGAUAUUGUACAGAUAGGAUAUGAGAGGUUUCUUCUGAAAUGCAGAUUGAAAGCGGUACCAUGUUGCAAGGAAAGGAUAUGCUGAUGUGACAAUGCAUCAGUUCGACAGACAGGAGAGGUUCUCUUGGAAGCUCCAAAUUGCUAUCAACCUCAACAUCUCUAAACAAUUUCUCCGAGCCUUCAAUCCAACAAUCAAAAAGCCUGUGGGGCUAGCGAAUGAAGUAGAUACAAGUAUACAACACUUCUGAUCACUAUUUCUUCUGGAUCCACAACUCGCUCCAAUAGUGUAAUCAGUUACAUCGCAAGCCCAAUAUCGAGCAAUUUUAGUCAUUUGCCACCGCAUGAUUUCUCUGAUAGAUAUUUAUUUUUCAUAGUUCAUUUUUAUGUGUAA